UCCGGCCUGCCGUGGAAACUUUCUCAGUCAGACAACAUUUAUUUUUAUUACGGAUAUUCAUUUUAACAUGUGUUUCUCUCUGCCCACCGUGCCAGCUCUCUUUGUUCUGCUUGCAAUGGCCAUUAAUACCGGGGUGACAGUGAACCUCUUGGGCAAGCGCUUUGGUGACUGGCGCUUCUCUUGGUCCUACAUACUAGGCUGGGUGGCUCUGCUCAUGACCGUCUUUGCAGGUAUAUUCUACAUUUGUGCCUACAGAAUGCAUGAGUGCAGAGGAGUGGCUGGCCCACAUUAAAAUGAACAAGAAAUGAUGUCACAUGGGUGUAAAGGAUAUGACUUAAAUAAUACAAUUUGGAAUUUGCAUAUGCAC
This is a long non-coding RNA of Acanthopagrus latus (yellowfin seabream), 367 nucleotides long. RefSeq lists it as uncharacterized. The transcript has 2 exons. The record is from RefSeq and is a predicted model, not a curated record. Lineage: Eukaryota; Metazoa; Chordata; Actinopteri; Spariformes; Sparidae.